This 10097-nucleotide long non-coding RNA is filed under the name Actinidia chinensis (golden kiwifruit). RNAcentral's name for it is "long non-coding RNA (ACHI_LNC005102)". The record is from RNAcentral. Lineage: Eukaryota; Viridiplantae; Streptophyta; Magnoliopsida; Ericales; Actinidiaceae.
UCUUUGAUUUAUGUUCAUAUCUCCUAGAUCUUGUGUUAUGAUUUAGAAAAUUUCUAACAGCACUCUAUAGCUCCAUGCAGAAUUCUAAUUAGUGCCACCUUAAAACCAUAAGCCCUAUCUUCCUCCUCGGAUUCCAGAAUUCUAGGGUUUUGCAUUGUAAUUAAGGGGGGGUGUAGAUCUCAGAAAGCAACUGUGGCUAUGGAUCUAAGGGUGGGAGAGGGCCGGUUAGGUUGCUCAAAAUGGUGGAUGGAGUGUAUUUAGUAAAUUGCCAAUCACUCUCUCGUUCUAGCAUUUGAAUAAGAGAAAUUACUCACCCCAACCUUCAAAAAAGUUUAUUUGUGAUUAUGAUUGACCUAUAUUACUAGCAUUUUUAGCUUGACACUUAUCAGCGUGUCUCUUUAAGUAGUUUGUACCGUUGAUAGAACUUGUAAAAAUACAUUCACAGUAAUUACAAAAAGCUUUAUUCACUAUUUUUUCAUUUUCAGUGAUUGAACUAGUUGAAAAUAUUGCCAAACUAUCGAUCUUACUCUCUUAGAUGUCCUACCGACGCUACUAGAUGUGCUCGUGUUGGCAGCGGGUUCGAUUGAAUUAUUUGAGGUCAUUUCAGGUAUAUUAUCAUCACUCUAGGCCUUAAACUCAUUGUAUCUAGCCUCUUCAAAAUCUUUUAAAAUGUAUCAUGAUCCAUUUUUUUUAAAAGUAUUUUUUUUAAAUACUAACGAUAAAAUAAAAUAAAUUUUGAUACAACAAUACCUCAAGUCCGAAGCGUUUACAAUAUCGGGAUUCAACACUUCUUCACAUUUGAGAAAUUUCAAGCAAUCAAGUAAUUGAAAUUUCUUCAACACUUUCAGAAAAUUAAAAUCUUCUUGAUAUUUGUAGAAUAUUGAGAGGUAAGUAUAGAAUUAUUAGAUUGAGUAAAAAUUGAGUAAUAAAAAAGUAUGGAGGAUUAGAGGUAUUUAUAAGAAAUUUUGUGAGCUCAUUUGAUCAAUUUAUAGUUGUUGUGGAGGGGUAUUUGAGUUAUUUAUAGCUCAAUUAUCAUUUCACUCAAAAACUAGUAGUUAUAUAGUUGCUGACGGGCCGAGCGAGUUGGGUGGCGUGGUGGGCCGUGCUAGUUGGGUUUCGUGUCCAAACGGGCGAGGCCGGACUUCGUUAGGAGUACCUAGCCUAAGUCCGGUUGGCGGCGAGCUUUAGGCCAUACCCAUGCUCGAAUGGGCCAACCGACCUAGCCCGUGCCAAGUCCAGGCCGUACAGAGGGCGGGCUCAUCAGACUGAACUUCUAAAUGCAAACAAAAGAAGUAUAGGGUUAAAUUUGAAAAAAAUAAAAUACUAAGGUUUAAUCAGUUACAAUGGUUAAAACUUGGACUUUUUAUGUAGUUUUCUCCAAUAAUUUCUAUUUUAAAAGGAAAUUAAUUUUCUAUUUUAUAUAUUUAAAAUAAAAAUAAAAAAGAUAGAGAAUGACGAGAAGGGAAAAAAAUUAAUUAAAAUGGUGAUACCACGUCACCGUUGCCACGUAGUAUAUAAUUCAAUUACAAACUGCCAUGUUUGCAUAAAUGUUAACAUAUCAGUUAUUAAAUUCACCAUCUAGAGUUCCUCAUUUUAUUUGUAAGUUUAUUAAUAAUUAGUUAUACUAUGUUAUCAAUACCACGUGAUAUAAUAAUUACAUUGAAGAUUUACUUGACGAGAAGGACAGGGGAAAACGAAAAAAAGACACAAAUUAAAAUUAAAUAGUGAGAAAGUCAAAGCUAAUUAAUGGAGAGAGAGAACCAACCAAUUAUAAGUUAGGGAAUAAUUUUUUCGUCCUGGCACAGCAAGAUUUUAUGAUUUUGAUAUUCUAAUUUGACCCUUUUAAUUUGAUAUUAAGAUUGAUUGUUUCACUAAUGUGAUAAUUUUUUAAAAACAUGAAUGACACGUGCUAUUAUCAUUCAAUACUAAAUUAUUAUGUAAGUAUAAUGAAUCUCAUUAUAUUUAUAUUAUGGUUAUUUAUUUUUUAAAAUUGACAAUUUCGUUCAAGUAAUAAGUUUCUUUUAUUUUUUAUAAAUAUUCAUUAUUAAAUUGUAAGAACACGUAUCGCUGUUAUAAAUGAAUUUUUACUCGUUAAUGAUGGAUUGGGACCCCAUGGAUAUUUCUCCUCCGAAGAUCAUGCGGAGAUUUUCACCUCAUCGUGCCAUGUGCUUUUUUUCAUCCUUGGCCUAAAAAGAAGCUUUGACGUGAAGACAAGAUCUUUUAAAUAGGACCGGACAUCAUCGUUUCACGACGGUGGCUGCUUGAAAGUAACGCUGUACCCUUGUUUUAUUUUACUCUAAUCAAAUUGUUUUAAUAGUUGUCUUUCUAAUUUCUACAACUCGAAUUUUGUAGGCUAGCAAAUAUGAUAAAAAAUCAGAAUAUAAAAAUUUAAGAAUUAGGAAAGGCACAUUUAGAAUGCAUAUUUAAGAUAGUAAUUUUCUCGCUAUGAUGCAAAUAAACUCUUGAAAAUUUUAUCUCAAAAAUACAAUGCCUAUUAAUUUAAGAUUAAUUAAGGCUGCACUCCUUAAUAAUCUUAGGAUCAGAAUAUCACCCCAAAAAAGAAUAAUAAUAAAGAAUAGAAAGAGAGAAAAAUUUUCACUUCAUUUUGGAUUUCUUUAGUCUUAUUUAUAGAGAAUCAAGGAUAUCUCAAACUAUCAUACAUUUUCACUGAUAUGGGACUAAAGCCUCAAUCGUUUAAAGUUCGUAAUUUUUUGCAUACUAGCCGUUUUGGACAAAGUUCCAAUGGUCAAAAUUAUAGCCGUUGUGAGAUGAAGUCCCAACAGACUAAAAUUAAAACGAAACAACGCAUACUAAAUUAAACGAUAUUAAAACAAUCAUUAAUUAAAAUAAUAAUUAUUAUCAUUAAUUUAAAUUUUAAACUAAAAUCUCAUUUUUUUUCUCCUUUAUAUAUAUAUAGUUGAAAAGAAUAGAAGAAGAAUUUGUAGUAUGCUGAGAUCGAGAUCAUAAGUAUUUAUACACAAAGUAAAUUAAGUGAGGGGGAACAUGAUCCCUAAUUUAGGCUAAAAGUAAUGGGACAUGAUUCCUAAUUUAGGCUAAUAGUAAGGGGACAUGAUCCCUAAUUUAUGUCCUAAAUUGUGCCAUAAUAUAUGACACAAUAUAUUCUAAUCAAUCCUUAUUUUCAACACUUUCCCUCGAGCUGAGAGAAGAUACCAAUCAAGCUCCCAGUUUGACAAUAGAGGACUAAAGCGGAGACCGAACAAACUGGAAGACCCUAAUGGGAAAAGACAUUGAAAAAUUGAUAGAAAAGGCUAUGCAAGAUUGCAGGUUGAACGAUGCAGUAAGAGGCUGUGUAGAGAUAGUAAAGGCCCAAACGUCUAAAAGACCUCAAGAUAUCGACGACAAAGGCUAUGUGAGGUCGUAGACUGCAAGAGGCUGCAGGAUGUUGCAUGAGGCAAUAUGAGACUGCAAAGGGGUUGCAGGAAGGCCUAAAAGGCUGCACAAAGGCCGCAGGAAUAUCCAAGAGGUUGCAGGAAGUCUGCAGGAAGCUCCAAGAGACUGCAAGAAGUUUUAGAAGCCUGUAGGAGGCUGUUGGGGGCUGGAAAAGGGGUUGUAAGAGGCUGCAGGAAGGAAGCAGGGGCUGCAUCCGGCCACGACAGAGCCGACAACGAUGACGAAAGUCGAAGGGGCUAACCAAGAGCAACCUUGCUCUGAUACCAAGUUAAAAAGAAUAGAAAAAAAAUUUGUAGUAUAUUAAGAUUGAUCUGAUACUUCUUUGGGUAAAUAUCACUGACCUCCUCCUGAGGUUUAGUAUAAAGACAGGAAGCUCCCCUGUACUUUUGAAAAAUUACGGCUGACCUCCCCGCAGACUUUGUCUCCCCCAUUUUGCAAGCCAAAAUUAUCAUUUUGCCCCCCUCACUCACGCCCGGCACCGCCCCCCCCCCCCCCCCCCCCCCCCCGAUUUUUUUUUUUAAUUUUUUAUUAAGUUUUUUUAUCUAAUUUAUUUCUCUUUUUUAUAGGUUUUAUUCUUUGGGAUAAAUUAUUAUAUUUUUUUUUGUUUUGUUACUUUUUUUAUUAAUAAUUUUCUUUUUAUUAGUUUGGUCUCUUUUUUUAUUAAAAAAUUAGUUAUUACUAAUAACAAAACACUAAUCAAAAAAAUAGUUUUUUGUUUAUUAUUAUUUUUAUUAUGUUUUUUGUUUAAUUUUUGUAUUUUAUAUAUAUGUUUUUAUUUUAAUUCAUAUUUUAAUACUUUUUUUAAUUUUUAUAAUAUGACUCUCAAAAUAAAUUUGUUAAAAAAUAAAAAAAACUACUCAAAUUAAAAUAAACAAACUAAAUAAAAAAAUAAAAAAAAUGAAAGAAGAGAUAGCAAAAUUUGUUUAGGCUGUUUUUCUUCAUUCAUUUUUUUUUAUUUUUAUUAGUUUUGUUUAUUUGAUUUUAUUUUUUUUUUUAAUUUUUUAAAAUCAAUUUUGGGCGUCAUUAUUAUAAAUUUAAAAAAAUAUAAAAAUAUUAAUCAAAAUAAAAAACAUAUCUAUAAAAAUAACAAAUUAAACAAGAAAAAUUAAUAAAAAUAAUAAUAAAGAAAAAACUAUUUUUUUUUAUUUAGUUUAUUUUGUUUAUUAUGUAAUAACUAAUUUUUAAUAAAAAGAACAACUAAAUAAAAAUAAAAUUAUAUUAAUAAAAAAAGUCAAAACAAAAAAAAAUAUAUAAUUUAUCCAAAAGAAAAAUAAAACCUAUAAAAAGGAGAAAUAAAUUAGAUUUAAAAAAACUUAAUAAAAUAAAAAAAAAUCGGGGGGGGGGGGGGGGGGGGGGGGGGGGGGUUGGUGGGCUGCUGCUGAGUGAGGGGGGGUAAAAUGUAAUUGUUGCUUGCAAUAAUGGGGAGACAAAGUAUGACAGGGGAGAUCAGUGUAAUUUUUCAAGUACCGGGGAGCUUCCUGUCUUAUACUAAAAACCUCAGGGGAGGUCAUUAUAUUUACCGCUAAUUAUUUAUACAUGAAGUAAAGAAAGUGAGGGGUAACAUGAUCCCUAAUUUAGGCUAAAAAUAAGGGGAUAUGAUCUCUAAUUUAUGUCCUAAAUUGUGCCAUAGUAUAUAGCACAAUAUAUACGUCUCUCUCUCUCUCUCUAUAUAUAUAUAAGAAAAAUAGUAAAAGCAAACUAUGAGGUUUUUCAAAUGAGGAAUUUCAAAACUUGAGGAGAAAAUACCACUCAAAUACUUAGCUAAGCAAUGUGGGAUAAAUAUUCUCUCACAAAAAGAGAAUCACUACCAUAAAGAGCUUACCUUAGUAAUGUGGGAUAAAUUUCUCUUAUAUAAUGAAAGUCAUUUUCACUAGAAGCUUUUUAAGUAAUGUAGGGCAAACAUAUGUUAUAUAUAAAGACUCUCUCUCAGUAAAAACUUAGCUUACCAACAUGGAACAAAAUUUGCACUCACAUAAAUCUCUUUCAAGCUUAAAAAAUUAUUAAUAUAAAUGAUAUUCUUAUUAAUUAUUAGUAAAUAUAUUAUAAUAUAUAACACUACGAAUUUUGUAGGCUAGCUAAGUAGGGAGAGGAUAUUGGUGGUAGAAUAGGGUUCGGUUUCAGACCCGUAUCCUUCAUAUUCAUUCAAAUUUUUCUUGUGGACUCAUCUUGUAGCACUCAUUGUGUUGGUUAUUCAGCAAAAAAUCUAUCAUUGAAUAUUCGUAAACAUAAGAACAAAUUGCAUUUUUAAAAAUAAAACUAGUAGUUGUCUGUGUAUCGUCCAUACAAAAAAUCAACAAUUAAAUAUCCGUAAAUAUAAGAACAAAUUUUAUUUUUUUAAAUAAAUGUAGCAGUUGCCUCGUGCGAUGCACGUGAUUAAGAAUAUUUCUAAUUUUUUUAAAAGUUCAAUUAAAGUUAAAGACACACAGAGAAAUAAAAUAGUUAUAAAAAUAUUAUGAGUUGAAAGAGAAUCUAUUAAGAUUUAAAAAAAAAUCACAUAAAACUAACAAAUAUAGAUAUGAUAAAAUAUUUAUCAAAUAUGUGAGUAUGAGUUGAAUUUGUGGAGCUUAUCUUAAUUGUAACAAAUAUUUUUUAUUUAACCUGAAAUAAAGAAGAUAACCUAAAAAAAUCAAGCAAAGUUAAAAAUGGACCAAGUGAAAAAAUACUUACAAAAAAAAGAUUAUGAGAACAAAUACAUCCAUGAAAACUAAGAAAAAAACUAAAAGAUCCACACAAAAAUAGAUAAGAAAAUAUAUAUUGAAGAUAACCAUUUUGGGAUGAGCCCAUAAUAACUUUGACACCUUAUUUUGUUGUUUUAAGAAUUUAAAUUGGUGCAUAUUUUUUUUAAAGAUUUAAUUACUCUGUAAUUUAUUUUUAUAAAAAUUAAGUUAUUAAUUGAAAUAUAGAGUUUGAUAGGUUUUAAACUCUUAUUUAAUUAAAGUUUAUAAUUUAUAGGAAUUAAUAUAUAUAACUAUAAAUAAUUUUUAUAUAUUUAUCUGUUAUUGUUGUUGUGUUUUUUUCCCCCUAAUAAAACAUAUUAUUUAAUUCUAAGAUAAAUUUAGAUUUAAAUAUUCUUUUAUUUUAAUAAUAAUAAAUUAAAUAUAAAGUUUAAUUGUUUUAAAAUCCUUACGAAGUCAUGUACUAAAAUCUAUACUUUUGCAUUUAUACCUAAUUUGUAUUGGUUACAACUCUUUAUAAUUUGAAUUUUUUUAUAAAUUAAAAAACUUAUUUAUCUAAUCUAUAGGACUAUCACUGCCACGUGGCAUUUUAAAAAUAAAAAGUAUAGAGAGUGCCAUAUAGGCGCAGCCACGUGGCAUUUUAAAAAUAAAAAGUAUAGAGAGUGCCAUAUAGGCGCAACAUAAGAGAGAGAAAAAAUUGGGUAAAAUUCUAUUUUUAAUAAUAUAUAUAAAAAACGAUUGUUAUAACUAUAAACUUAAAUCGUUCAUUUAUUUUAAUAAAAAUGCGAUUAUUUAUGUGUUUAUAAAAUUCAGGUAAAAUUGAUUUUUUUUCACGGAUGAAAGGGAUACGAGAUGAAUGGUUCAUGUGCUCAAUGUGAGCUCGGGAACCCAUAUGAGGAAUUUGGAUGAGUAUUGGACAUGGGUCUGGGGUGAGCUGAACCUGGUAGAAUAGAUUUGAUCAGACGCCAACACUAGCGGUGGCAGGUGUCUGUGCCGCCACCAUCAUCAUCAUCCAUUGCAGAAGAUUCUCAACAAAGUUGGAAAGGUAAUUUCUCAUUCAAUUAAACCAAAAGCUCCACAUAAGGAUUCGAUUGCUGGUGCCUCAAAUAUGUUCUGCCAAAAAAAUUGGGUCUAAUUUUUUGUUUGGGAAAAUUGUCGAUUGAAUUUGCAAGUGAGUUAACUAUAUGGAAAAAGGUCUCCCGAAACUUUUUUUAUUAAUUCUGUUUCAUAUGCUCAAUUUGUUAUGGGUUUUUAAAGUGUGUUGUCUUCGAAUUAGGAGAAUAUAGUCUGGCUUUGGAUUUGGUCAGAGCAUUGUUUUUAAACCGGUUGAUGUUUAACCGGUCUAGUUUCUCGUCUGUCAUUUAAUCUCAUUUUCUAGGUCAAAUCGCCUUGAAUCCCAUGGACCGCUGGCUCAGCCGGUUGACCAUUGGAACUAGCCACGGUUAGACAUAACCGGCCGAGUUAUGCUUCAAAAGACUUGAGGUAAAAAACGGAUGCCGAUCAGUAUGGCGCUAGGGUAAAACCCUCCAGAGACUAGUGUUCUUAACAAUUAGUUGCAAAGAAAAUAAUAGGGUCAAUUUCAUUUUUACCCCUUCGAGUUCGACCUAAGUUUUAUUUUAGUCCUUAUAGUUUUAAUUUGAACAAAGUAAAUCUUAUAAUUUUUUAUUAGUUGCAAUGUUAUCCCUUUACCCGAUGGUGUUAGAUUUUUGGAUAAAAAUGUAUAAUUAUAAGGACUAAAGUGAAGUUUGGUUCAAACUCAAAGGGGUAAAAGAAAAAUUAACCCUUCUUUAUAUUUUUAAGAAAUAUUUUAGCUUGUAAUCAUAUUAAAAAAAUCAACACUAAGAUUUAUUGUACAUUGUAAACACACUCAUGUAAAAUGUAAACACUUUUAAAAAUAUUAAUUGAUGUUCUUAAGACACUCAUUAACAAAAUCUUUUAAAAAAAAUAACUUAAAAGGAUUUUAAAAGGGAUUGUACAUUCUAGCACGAGAGCACAUAAAAUGUGCAAUCAAUUUUAGUAUUAAUUUUUUAAGUGCACUUGUUAAAAAAAUUAUUUUUUCCUUUUAUAUCUUCGGUGACCUUUUUAUUAACUUAUUCUCUCCCUCUCUUACUUUUAAAUGAUUCAGGUCUAGAGGCAAAUAAAAAAUAUAAGAAAAAAAUAUUAAUAAUUUUUAUUUAGGACAACAAAGUCCUAUUUUUAAAAAAAUUAGGACAAGAAGUUCAGUUCUCAAAAUAAGUAUUUAUUUAUUUAUACUUUCGUUUUUUAAACAAAUAUAUUUAUUUUUGUUAAUGGCCAUUGUAAUUUGGUUUUUUAAUUUUUUAAAUUUAAAAAUAAUUUCAAUUUUUUUUAUUCAGAAAACAUAUAAAAAAUUUAUUUAAAAUUAAUAUUAAUAUUUUUUAUACAUAAGGUUACUAUACUAGUAUUAGUAGUUUAUACUGAAAAUACAUAUGCAAGUUUUUUAAUAACUACAUUCACAUUUCGUCUUUUAGUUCUUACCAUUUUUAAAAAAAUAAUAUGCUACUAAAGUAUUUUUUUAUUUUCAAAUAAAAAAUUAGAUAAAACGUAUGUGAUUUUUAGGUAAACCUAAUUUUUGAAAUAUUUAUGCUAUAAAAAAUUAUAGUUGGUUAAGAUAUUUCGACUCUAGAAUUCAUAUAAAGUUAUAAAAAUAAAUUCGUAAUUUAUUAUAAAAUUUAACUGAAAUUGGGAUCUCAAGGUGUAAAAAUAGAAUACAUCAUACUAUUAAUUUUUUUCUUAUAUACGUUAAAAUUAUUUUAAUGUCUAAUUUUUAUGUAUUUAUUAGUCAUGGCUCAUUAAAAGAAUAGGUCAAAAAGGAGAUAAUAAUAUUAUUAUUGAGAUUUGAAUUUAAUUGUUCUAAUUUUUGUAAAAUAAAACUUAAUUGUUCAAAUAAAAAAUUGAUAGGACUCAAUGGUCAUUUGCAAUAAAAAAGUACUACUUAUUAGAGAUUUUUUCAAAAUAUAAUCUUUUAUAAAAUUAGGAGAAAAGCAAUCUAGACAAAAUUUGGUUGACUUUUCUUUUAAAUAUAAUCCAUAUUAUAACAUUUAAGUUAAUAAGAAAAAUUCAAAAGUACAUAAAAAAUAUUUUUUUCUUUUGUCAAAAUCAAAUUAAAAAAAAAAUAAAGUAAAAAAAUAUGAUUAGAAAGGUUAAUUUUUCUUUUACCCCUUUGAGUUUGACAUAAGUUUUACUUUAAUUCUUAUAAUUCCAACUUUCCUUUUAAAAACUUCAGUCCAUGUUUAGUGCACCAUUCCAUUGCUGCAUAUGGGAGCUCCAUGGGCAUCACUUGCAAAUUUGUGUACCUUGCAAGAAAAUAAAGAGUUCGUAUUAGAGAUUUCAAAAUGAAAAGUCAUGAACACGUCCAACUUGUAGAAUACAUGAGGUGAAUGUACUGUUAGUAUGUUAGCAAUGUGUAGUAAAUUCUGUAUCUGUAUAUAGCAAUUUAAUAUCAUUACUUCCCUUGUAGUCGAUGAUAUUAUGGAAAUCUUUAACCAUGGUGUUUCAAAAUGGCAUUUUCUACUGAAGCCUGUGACCAUGUGAGCGGAAGAGAUGAAGCUGAGGUAGCGCAUGUUGGUCACUCUGCCCUUCUAAUAAUGAUACUUGGUCUGGUGAAAAGACCAGGAGAACCCUCUUCACAAUUUCCUUUCAUUCAAACGAAAAAGAGAUGAAAAGGCACAAGAUUCGUCGUGGGUCGUGUUAGACGUUGCUAGUGCGUUAAUCAUUAAGGAAUCAUCAUCUAUACAAUUCAAGAACACUGACCCGGAUCAAAACCAUCCAUUGGAGAGUGGCAAAACACGACAAAGGCAGCAGAGACCAGGUGUGAGAGACAAAGCAACCGAGAGAGAGAGAGAGCGAAAGUGAAGUAGCAUAGCUGAGAGCCUAAGACCCCUCCAGAAUAAUAUAUGAAAAGAUCAUUAUAUCAGAGGGUACUAUUCCUAUUUAUAGAGGGUUAUAUGUGACCUAUAUGACUAGCCAAUAAUAUGCCGGAUAUAUGCCAAG